CCUUUGGUGUUAAAUUUAUAAGUUUCAUGAUGCAAAAUGAGAGGAAUGUAUGGUAGUUUUUUGUUUGGGAUUUAAUUGAGUUUGAAAGCUGUUAAUGCCGAAUUGAGGGAAGCUUUCAUCAGAAUUCUUGUUGCAGGCAAUGUUUACGUACCUUUGCAUGGUUUUGCAUGAAACUAUUUUUGAAAAUUUCACUUUAACCCCCCAAGUCUCCCCUUGUUCUACUAUGACCCACAAAUUUGAGAAAGCUAAUCAAUUGGGUCCCUGUGAUUUUUGCAGCAAUGCAUUAUGGCCCAAUUACAUUCCAUGUUCUUGCAAUUAGGUCCUAAGGUGUUUGCAUUCGAAUCAUUAAUUGAUCUUUAUUAUUUUGGGGACCUUUGAAGCUCUUUGAUGAUUCAUUUUGACGUUGAUUGUGAUUGAUUAGUGAUCAUUAUUGGGUCCUAGAAAUGCAAGUUUAAACCAUUCAUGGACCUUCAUUCACUCUUGGAUUCUUGAGAUAUGAUGUUUGCUUGGACUUUAAUUUUUACUUGGGGACCUUUGAGUUUUUAAAUGCUUCAAUUAGGUUCAAUUGAUUUGAGUAGUGCUUGCAUUUGGGUCUUUAGUGGAUGUUAUGCUUGGAGGUUGGAUGAUCAUGUCUUUGCUUGGUCUUUAAUUAGCUUUUUACUUCAUUAAGUUGUAAUUGGGGGAAAAUUUGAUGAUUAGGUGGAUUCCAAUUGUUUUGUUUAUAUCUUAUAAUUAAAUUGGUGCGUUAAUCCUUUGCUUUGAAUGGUCUUAGCACAUGUUAUCCCGUUAGUUGGUGACUUAGCCCAGUUUAAAUCUCGUCCAUUUAACACUACAAAAGGGAGUGGUAUAAUUUCUUUUAUCUUUUUUGUUUCUCUUAUGUGACUCAACGUGCUAAGUGAAUUGCAUGUCUACUUUGCUUUCUUAGCUUUUCUUUAAUUCCUUUUACUUAUGUCAUUUGCUUUUUGCUUUCAUUAAGUUAUUCUUUUAAUGGGGUAUGUGUACACCUCUUGGCUUGUAAUAGAUAGGGCGUAGCAAGUAAUUUGGUCCACUUUCCCUUUCCCUUUUGUUUUAGUUAGCAAAUGUAAUGGUUACAUGCCUAUGUGUUAUAUGUUAAAUGCUUUAUUAGGAUUUUGCAUCUAGUCAAGCAUGCAAAGUGUUAUGUGCUACGUGUUUAUAAGUGAUUCGCAUGUCUACUCGCUUUUUAUAGUGUGGAUGAAUGGAAUGAAUGAAUGUACGUCAUCACACUAGUCCAACGCUAGUUGUGGCUUCUUUUAUCGUUUCCACUAGUCCAACGCUAGUCGGAAUUCAUAGGAGGGGCUAGUCCAAUGCUAGACCCAAUAGGUUCUUUUUUUCCCUUUUUCAUUAAGUGCAUGAUCACCACAUAUCACGCAUUUUUCCUUAGUUUAUCAUUUGGCAUGUUCCUCAAACCCCUUCCCCUUCACUUUAGGACUUGCAUCUCAUGCUAGUUAGGGUUCAUUUGCGUGAAAAUCCCCUUCCGAUAAGGGAAACGAGCGAGUGUGGCUUCAAAUAGCCUUAGCACGCUAGUUUUUCCUUCUAGUCAAAGGGAAAAUUAAAAUCAUAAAACUAGAGGUCAUCCCCGUACCCGACUUGAU
RNAcentral lists this long non-coding RNA (1613 nucleotides) under Coffea arabica (coffee). Its description in RNAcentral is "long non-coding RNA (CARA_LNC008052)". Lineage: Eukaryota; Viridiplantae; Streptophyta; Magnoliopsida; Gentianales; Rubiaceae. The record is from RNAcentral.